GGUGGCCACAAAAUGGGGAAGGAAGUGAAGCCCUGCGCCCUGUGCCAAGGCUUUACUGCUGCGAGGACUUUCAGGAGAGGCUGAAACAACAACAACAAACCAGUAAAAACAAUGCUACCUUAGGGAAGCUCCCAGGAACUAAACUAGUCCACAUUGGAGAGAGCAGAUAAAUCCCUACAAGCAAAGAGUUGCUGUUGAUGAAUGGCAGGGAUAGUGCCCAUAUGCUGUGGGCUGACGACGUGCUAGGCCCCAGCUCCAUGCUUCCCAUGAGAAUGUCCUCGGCGAGCAUCCAGAGAACGCCUACAAGGCAGAGAAAGUAAAUUUUAGCAUGCUGAGGUGGCCUGCUGGGGGUUUGACAGUCAGUGCAUGGUGGAGCUAGAGUUGGA
This is a long non-coding RNA of Globicephala melas (long-finned pilot whale), 386 nucleotides long. RefSeq lists it as uncharacterized. NCBI's taxonomy places the organism in Eukaryota, Metazoa, Chordata, Mammalia, Artiodactyla, Delphinidae. The record is from RefSeq and is a predicted model, not a curated record.